AAGGAAUAGUUUAUGUAGAAUUCCAGCUUUGGG
This 33-nucleotide transfer RNA is filed under the name Delphinidae gen. sp. RNAcentral describes it as "partial tRNA-Pro". The record is from RNAcentral. Lineage: Eukaryota; Metazoa; Chordata; Mammalia; Artiodactyla; Delphinidae. RNAcentral also lists the same sequence under 1 other name.